RNAcentral lists this ribosomal RNA (1524 nucleotides) under uncultured Halocella sp. Its description in RNAcentral is "bacterial SSU rRNA". It matches the Rfam family "Bacterial small subunit ribosomal RNA". The record is from RNAcentral. Lineage: Bacteria; Bacillati; Bacillota; Clostridia; Halanaerobiales; Halanaerobiaceae.
AGGGUUUGAUUAUGGCUCAGGACGAACGCCGGCGGCGUGCUUAACACAUGCAAGUCGAACGGUCCUCGCCGAAUAAAACCUUCGGAUUAGAAACGGAGAGAGGAUAGUGGCGGAUGGGUGAGUAACGCGUCAAGAACCUGUCCCUUAGCUUGGGAUAACCUGACGAAAGUCGGACUAAACCCGAAUAAAGUGUCCAAAGAGCAUUCUUGGGACAAAAAAGAUGGGUCAAACCAUCACUAAGGGGUGGCUCCGCGUCGGAUUAGCUAGCUGGUGAGGUAAAGGCUCACCAGGGCAACGAUCCGUAGCUGGUCUGAGAGGACGGACAGCCACACUGGGACUGAGACACGGCCCAGACUCCUACGGGAGGCAGCAGUGGGGAAUACUCCGCAAUGGACGAAAGUCUGACGGAGCAACGCCGCGUGAGUGAAGAAGGCCUUCGGGUCGUAAAGCGCUGUCCUUGGGGAAGAAUGGCCUUAACAGGAAAUGGUUAAGGAGGAGACGGUACCUGAGGAGGAAGCCCUGGCUAACUACGUGCCAGCAGCCGCGGGAACACGUAGAGGGCAAGCGUUGUCCGGAAUUACUGGGGCGUAAAGGGUACGCAGGUGGGAGGAAAAGUCAAGUGUGAAAGGUAUCGGCUUACACCGAUUACAGAGCAAAUGAAACUAUCCUUCUUGAAGGGCAGGAGAGGAGAAGCGGAAUUCCUGGGUGUAGCGGUGGAAUGCGUAGAUUAUCACGAAGAACACCCGGUGGCGAAGGCGGCUCUCUGGCCUGCAACUGACGCUGAGGUACGAAAGCUGGGGGAGCAAACAGGAUUAGAUACCCCCGGUAGUCCCAGCUGUAAACGAUGGACACUAGGUGUGUGGUGGGUUCGAAUCCAUCAGUGCCGGAGUUAACGCGAUAAGUGACCCGCCUGGGGAGUACGGUCGCAAGACUGAAACUCAAAGGAAUUGACGGGGGCCCGCACAAGCGGUGGAGCAUGUGGUUUAAUUCGAUGCAACGCGAAGAACCUUACCGAGACUUGACAUCCCAUGCUAAGCUAUGAAAAUAGCAGUUAGGUUUAUACCUACAUGGAGACAGGUGGUGCAUGGCUGUCGUCAGCUCGUGUCGCGAGAUGUUGGGUUAAGUCCCGCAACGAGCGCAACCCCUAUUCCUAGUUGCCAGCAUGUUAUGGUGGGGACUCUAGGAAGACAGCCGGUGAAAGCCGGAGGAAGGUGGGGAUGACGUCAAGUCCUCAUGCCCUUUAUGUUUCGGGCUACACACGUGCUACAAUGGUUGGUACAGAGGGGAGCGAAGCCGAAAGGCGAAGCAAAUCUCACAAAGCCGAUCUCAGUUCGGUUUGGAGGCUGCAACCCGCCUUCAUGAAGCUGGAAUCGCUAGUAAUCGCAGGACAGCAUACUGCGGUGAAUACGCUCCCGGGCCUUGUACACACCGCCCGUCACACCACCCGAGUUGGAUGCACCAGAAGUCACUUGAGAGUGCCGAAGGUGUGGCUGAUAAGGGGGGUGAAGUCGUAACAAGGUAGCC